UGGGCGGUAGCCAAGUGGUAAGGCACUGGUUUUUGAUACCAGCAUACGUAGGUUCGAAUCCUCCUCGCCCAGCCA
This 75-nucleotide transfer RNA is filed under the name Deltaproteobacteria bacterium. RNAcentral's name for it is "tRNA-Gln". It matches the Rfam family "tRNA". Rfam says of the family: Transfer RNA (tRNA) molecules are approximately 80 nucleotides in length. The record is from RNAcentral. Lineage: Bacteria; Pseudomonadati; Myxococcota; Myxococcia.